AUGAUGAGGGACCUCUUCGGGGCCGGGAGCGAGACCUCGGCGUCGACGUUGCAGUGGGCCAUGGCGGAGCUGGUGCGGAAACCGGCGGCGCUCCGGAGGGCGCAGGCGGAGGUGCGCAGCGCGCUCGCCGGGCAGAGCCGCGCCCGGGAGGAGGCCUUGCAGGAGCUGCCGUACCUGCGGCUGGUGAUCAAGGAGACGCUCCGGCUGCACGCGGCAGUGCCGCUGCUCCUCCCGCGGGAGUGCCGCGAGCCCAGUCGCGUCCUCGGGUACGACGUGCCCCAGGGCACCAUGGUGCUGGUCAACGCGUGGGCCAUCGGCCGGGACGCGGCGAGCUGGGGGCCGGACGCCGAGGAGUUCCGGCCGGAGAGGUUCGAGGAGGAAUCCGCGGCGGCGGUGGACUUCAGAGGGACGGACUUCCAGCUUGUGCCGUUCGGGGCGGGGCGGAGGAUGUGCCCCGGGAUCACGUUCGGGCUCGCCGUCAUGGAGGUCGCGCUGGCGAGCCUCCUCUUCCAUUUCGACUGGGAGCUCCCCGGGGGGACGGAGGAGCUGGACAUGGCGGAGGCGUUCGGGAUCACGGCGAGGAGGAAGAGCGACCUGUGGCUGCAUGCCACCGUCGUCGUGCCACCUCUGUAA
This 633-nucleotide ribosomal RNA is filed under the name Triticum aestivum (bread wheat). Its description in RNAcentral is "partial small subunit ribosomal RNA". Lineage: Eukaryota; Viridiplantae; Streptophyta; Magnoliopsida; Poales; Poaceae. The record is from RNAcentral.